This 26-nucleotide non-coding RNA is filed under the name Drosophila melanogaster (fruit fly). Lineage: Eukaryota; Metazoa; Arthropoda; Insecta; Diptera; Drosophilidae. RNAcentral also lists the same sequence under 1 other name. The record is from RNAcentral.
UAGAAUUCGUCCGUGUUAAAGUGAUU